This 225-nucleotide ribosomal RNA is filed under the name uncultured bacterium. RNAcentral describes it as "partial 16S ribosomal RNA". It matches the Rfam family "Bacterial small subunit ribosomal RNA", at positions 15 to 232 of the family's 1533-position model. The record is from RNAcentral.
GAUCCUGGCUCAGGAUGAACGCUAGCUACAGGCUUAACACAUGCAAGUCGAGGGGCAGCAUGGUCUUAGCUUGCUAAGGCCGAUGGCGACCGGCGCACGGGUGAGUAACACGUAUCCAACCUGCCGUCUACUCUUGGACAGCCUUCUGAAAGGAAGAUUAAUACAAGAUGGCAUCAUGAGUCCGCAUGUUCACAUGNUAAGGUAUUCCGGUAGUACGAUGGGGUA